This is a non-coding RNA of Drosophila bipectinata, 625 nucleotides long. The record is from RefSeq and is a predicted model, not a curated record. Lineage: Eukaryota; Metazoa; Arthropoda; Insecta; Diptera; Drosophilidae.
CUGUCUUCUGGCUGACUCCUUUGGAGUACAUCCCACCAAAGGAGACGAAGGAGCCGAAGCACAACCAGAAGCACCCACAGCUGAGAUAGACACUCCGGAAAAUAUACAUCUCAAUAGCGAGACAUAGAUAUUACUAGAGAACCUCCUCCAUAUAUACAUAUAUAUCGAGCUGCGAAAAUGACAAUUGUGAGUUGUGGUUCAAAAUUGUUGGCUUCGCAUGCGGGGCACAAUCAAAGCAAACGUCAUUAGCACUCGCGACAUCGCCUUCGAUUGACAGGAGGACGAGGAGCAGGAGCAGGAGCAGGAGCAGCAGCAGUAGCAGAAGAAGGAGAAAGAGGUGGAGCUGUAGCAGGUCCUGCCGCAGAAGCAGGCACGAACAACUUCACAUUUGCAUAACUUUAGUGCAACGCCAGCGUUCAGAUACCGAUUCACAGAUGUCAAUGGGCGUGGCAGGGGGACAGAGCAGUGAACCGAGGCAGCUGAAAAUCAAAGCCCAAUUGGCACAAACACGCGGUAAAUAGAAAUCGCAAUCGGAAUCGGAAUUGAAAUAGAAAUUCGCAUUCAAAUUCAAAUGCAAAUAGAAAUUGCCACGAGAGUCCCAUAGAAGAAGAAGAAAACAGCAACA